AUGCUUCCAACUAGUGAUGGAGUCUCACUAUGUUGCCUAGGUGGGUCUCAAAUUCCUGGCAUCAAGCAAUCCUCCUGCCUUAGCCUCCCAAAGUACUGAAAUUUCAGGUGAAUCUCCUCAAACCUAAGGGUGUUCAGUUGGGGAAGAGGUGACUGUGUGUGGUGACGGCCCCAGAGGACAGAAUAUUAAUAAUGUAGUUGAUAACCUUCAACACAGGUCGUGGCACUUUACUGGGAAAAGAGAUUUGUGGCAGUCCUUAUUUCUCAGGAGUCUCUGCUUUUACUCAGGUAGGGGAAGCUCUGCAAAGCCUUCUUUCUGUGUCUGUUGAAUCCCAAACGUCUUCAGCUUAAGAUAAUUUUCAUGCCAAAGUGGAGUAUUUUAGGGCAGCAUAUUCUGAUCCUCUUCAAAACCGUGUCAACCUAGAGGUUCUAGAUUUUAUGUGGAAUCUGGAAAGAGCAGUGCUUGGGUGGAUCUGAUUUAUAAUUUCUUACUGCUUAGUGGGCAGAAUAUAGUACGUGAUGCAAUAAC
Molecule: long non-coding RNA, 528 nt
Filed under: Callithrix jacchus (white-tufted-ear marmoset)
Lineage: Eukaryota; Metazoa; Chordata; Mammalia; Primates; Cebidae
Description: lncRNA (ENSCJAG00000087226.1)
Source: RNAcentral